CUUUAAUUAAUUGAAAAUACGUACCAUGAUUUGUAUUGCGUUUUGUUUUACGUUCGUGCGUAAUGUGCAAACGACGUUGUAUAAUACCUGAGAUAGACAGAUGUCUCAACUUGGUGAGGACUUGAGAGCAUCAAAUAGACGCGCCUAUGCUGAGGGAUCCAGGAAAAAUUUGAGGAUCCAGUGGGAAUCAUUUCUUUUGUUUUGCUGUCAUUUUGGAAAUCAGAAUGGACUGAUUCAAUGUGCAGUGAUGUAAAGGCAGUAGGUAAGAAAUUGCAGGUUGUCAUUGUUUGAUUAUUUAUG
Dreissena polymorpha is the source of this 300-nucleotide long non-coding RNA. RefSeq lists it as uncharacterized. Lineage: Eukaryota; Metazoa; Mollusca; Bivalvia; Myida; Dreissenidae. The record is from RefSeq and is a predicted model, not a curated record. The transcript has 3 exons.